UUGGAGGGCAAGUCUGGUGCCAGCAGCCGCGGUAAUUCCAGCUCCAAUAGCGUAUAUUAAAGUUGCUGCAGUUAAAAAGCUCGUAGUUGAAUUUCGGGACCAUCAUGUCGGUCGUGCCUCGGUACGUACUGGUAUUGUUGGUUUCUCCCUUCUGACGAACCAUGAUGUCAUUUAUUUGGUGUUGUGGGGAAUCAGGACUGUUACUUUGAAAAAAUAGAGUGUUUAAAGCAGGCUCACGCUUGAAUACAUUAGCAUGGAAUAAUGAAAUAGGACGUUUGAUUCUAUUUUGUUGGUUUCUAGGAUCGACGUAAUGAUUAAUAGGGAUAGUUGGGGGCAUUAGUAUUCAAUUGUCAGAGGUGAAAUUCUUGGAUUUAUUGAAGACUAACUACUGCGAAAGCAUUUGCCAAGGAUGUUUUCAUUAUUCAAGAACGAAAGUUAGGGGAUCGAAGACGAUCAGAUACCGUCGUAGUCUUAACCAUAAACUAUGCCAACUAGGGAUCGGAUGAUGUUAAUUUUUUAAUGACUCAUUCGGCGCCUUACGGGAAAC
This 547-nucleotide ribosomal RNA is filed under the name uncultured Glomeromycotina. Its description in RNAcentral is "SSU rRNA". It matches the Rfam family "Eukaryotic small subunit ribosomal RNA", at positions 548 to 1098 of the family's 1831-position model. Lineage: Eukaryota; Fungi; Glomeromycota. The record is from RNAcentral.